AUAAAAGUAACACAAAGGUUAGUGUGUUUGGCUUAGAACCAGACUAUAUUGGUUAAAUUCCAAUCUUUUAUU
This 72-nucleotide transfer RNA is filed under the name Ophiophthalmus serratus. RNAcentral's name for it is "tRNA-Leu". It matches the Rfam family "tRNA". From Rfam's summary of the family: Transfer RNA (tRNA) molecules are approximately 80 nucleotides in length. Lineage: Eukaryota; Metazoa; Echinodermata; Ophiuroidea; Amphilepidida; Ophiacanthidae. The record is from RNAcentral.